UGAACGCUGGCGGCGUGCUUAACACAUGCAAGUCGAACGGAGUUAAGAAGGAAGCUUGCUUUCAUUUAAACUUAGUGGCGGACGGGUGAGUAACGCGUGAGGAACCUGCCCUUCAGUGGGGAACAACAACUAGAAAUGGUUGCUAAUACCGCAUAAUGUCGGAUUGCCGCAUGACAGACCGACCAAAGGAUUUAUUCGCUGAAGGAUGGCCUCGCGUCCGAUUAGAUAGUUGGUGAGGUAACGGCCCACCAAGUCUACGAUCGGUAGCCGAACUGAGAGGUUGAUCGGCCACAUUGGGACUGAGACACGGCCCAGACUCCUACGGGAGGCAGCAGUGGGGAAUAUUGGGCAAUGGGCGAAAAAGCCUGACCCAGCAACGCCGCGUGAAGGAUGACGGUCUUCGGAUUGUAAACUUCUUUAAUUGGGGAAGAAUAAAUGACCUACCCAAAGAAUAAGUCACGGCUAACUACGUGCCAGCCGCCGC
Molecule: ribosomal RNA, 484 nt
Filed under: uncultured bacterium
Lineage: Bacteria
Description: bacterial SSU rRNA
Rfam family: Bacterial small subunit ribosomal RNA
Source: RNAcentral